Molecule: ribosomal RNA, 485 nt
Filed under: uncultured Cetobacterium sp.
Lineage: Bacteria; Fusobacteriati; Fusobacteriota; Fusobacteriia; Fusobacteriales; Fusobacteriaceae
Description: bacterial SSU rRNA
Rfam family: Bacterial small subunit ribosomal RNA
Source: RNAcentral
AGAGUUUGAUCCUGGCUCAGGAUGAACGCUGACAGAAUGCUUAACACAUGCAAGUCGAUUCGAAGUUUCUUUCGGGAAAUGGAGGAUGGCGGACGGGUGAGUAACGCGUAAGGAACUUGCCUUUUGGACUGGGACAACUGUUGGAAACGACAGCUAAUACCGGAUAUUAUAAGAUCUUCGCAUGGAGAACUUAUGAAAGCUAUAUGCGCCAAAAGAGAGCCUUGCGUUCCAUUAGCUAGUUGGUGGGGGUAAUGGCCCACCAAGGCGACGAUGGAUAGCCGGCCUGAGAGGGUGAACGGCCACAAGGGGACUGAGACACGGCCCUUACUCCUACGGGAGGCAGCAGUGGGGAAUAUUGGACAAUGGGCCACAAGCCUGAUCCAGCAAUUCUGUGUGCACGAUGACGGUCUUCGGAUUGUAAAGUGCUUUCAGUUGGGAAGAAGAAAGUGACGGUACCAACAGAAGAAGCGACGGCUAAAUACGUG